UCUACCCAUUUGUGGGGAGAUGGUGGGGAAGAAGCCAUGCUUUAGGGAAUAUUAAUAGAGUUAGAUCUUUUUUUUUUUAAUACCAGAAUUGGAACAUCGAAACACGGUUGCGAAGUGCACCUCACAGGAGGCCGUGGAAUUAACCAGCAGUAUCCCAGUGGUGCCUACUGUUGGUCAAAUGAGCUGGAAACCGGAGGACAAGGGGAUCAGUUGACGCGGCACACACAGCCCAAGGAAGGCCACAGGUAACUGAAACCAUGGAAUGUGAAACUACAGAUACGGGGGCCUACCGCACCUAAUCUCCCUGCUAACGGCCUGGGGAAAGCAGCAGAAGAUGGCCCAAGUGCUUGGGUCUCUGCCACCCAUGUGGGAGAUCCAGAUGAAGCUCCUGUCUCCUGGCUUCAGCCUGACUCAGCCAGGGCCAUUGUGGCCACUUGGGAAGUGAACCAGCAGAUGGAAGUCCACUCCCUCUCUCUCUGUAACUCCGAUUUCAAAUAAAUAAAUACAUCUUUAAAAAAAAAAAAGCAACCUUACUCUGUUUCUAUG
Oryctolagus cuniculus (rabbit) is the source of this 546-nucleotide long non-coding RNA. RefSeq lists it as uncharacterized. The record is from RefSeq and is a predicted model, not a curated record. NCBI's taxonomy places the organism in Eukaryota, Metazoa, Chordata, Mammalia, Lagomorpha, Leporidae.